AUUGAACGCUGGCGGCAGGCCUAACACAUGCAAGUCGAACGAGUGGCGGACGGGUGAGUAAUGUCUGGGAAACUGCCCGAUGGAGGGGGAUAACUACUGGAAACGGUAGCUAAUACCGCAUACCAUCGGAUGUGCCCAGAUGGGAUUAGCUUGUAGGUGAGGUAACGGCUCGCCUAGGCGACGAUCCCUCGGUGGUCUGAGAGGAUGACCAGCAAAGCGGGAACUGAGACACGGUCGAGACGCCUACGGGAGGCAGCAGUGGGGAAUAGUGCACAAGGGGCGAAAGCCGGAUGCAACCAUGUCGGGUGGAUGAAAAAGUCCUUCGGGUUGUAUAGUACUUUCGGCGGGGAGGCAUGACCCGCAGAGGAAGCACCGUCUAACUCCGUGCCAGCAGCCGCUGUAAUAC
RNAcentral lists this ribosomal RNA (406 nucleotides) under uncultured bacterium. Its description in RNAcentral is "partial 16S ribosomal RNA". It matches the Rfam family "Bacterial small subunit ribosomal RNA", at positions 29 to 526 of the family's 1533-position model. The record is from RNAcentral.